Molecule: long non-coding RNA, 852 nt
Organism: Vulpes vulpes (red fox)
Lineage: Eukaryota; Metazoa; Chordata; Mammalia; Carnivora; Canidae
Source: Ensembl
CACAGCUUAAGAGAGACCUUCCCCCUUUGAAAGAUUAAUUCAUUUGCCAGAGUUCUCAAAUCUAUAGCCUGCUACCUCCUAAGAGACCUGGCUACAUUGAUUUUUCCCUCUUUCUGCAGUGACUUCAAAGAAAACAAUUAGCUGACAUUGGUUGAGAGGAUGUGGACCCACAUUCACAGGAUAGGGAUAUGAGGACGGAUCUGAUAAAAAAGAAUUAAAAAGUAUCUGCAUUAAGAUCCUAUUCAACAAAUGCAUGAGGCUAUUAACCAAAGUCAAUAUAAUAAAAGCAGGAAGGAAAACACAUUCAAACCUUUCAAUUGAAGCUGUGUGGGCUGCACAAUUAUAAAGCAUAUUUACUAAUAAAGUGAAACCUGAGAUUAUACAGCAUGAACGUGCUAGAUUGUAGCCAGUGUUCUAUAUUCAGCUGUAAUCUAAACAUACUCAUAUGAAUUCCAACUGAAAGCAGGAAAAUGUCUUCGAAGUAUCCUCUAUUUCCAAUGCAUUGCCAAAUUCUCUCUUCUAAUUUUUCAUUUCAUAAAGUAUACAGAGCUAACCAUCCUUGGAUUCUCAAUCAACAUCAAAUAGCUAACCGCUUGAAACUGGGCUUGGAAAAGCUCAUUUGCAUUCGUGCAGCAAGGCUGGAGAAUAAACCAAGCAAAUGCGUCUAUUUGUGUACUUCAAUAUAUGACUGUGCUUGCUUCAAUCAAGACUUAUUUUCAGUAUCAUGGCCAACAAAAGCAUUAAACGAGUUUUCUCCAACAUGAGUGAUAAGCUGUAGAAUGUAUUUCUUUAAAGGAUUUUUUUUUUCUGUGACGCUUAUGGAAUGCAAUAAAAAACAGAAGCAAGAGUGCA